AAGAAAUCGAAAGAAAGUCUGUCUCCAGUAGCCACAUUUUUUAGAUUUUCUUUCUUUCGAAAUCUUUCAUCGGAGCUUCUGGAAUUUAUAGUAGUUUCAUCGUAUAUUGAUUCCAAAAAGAAUCAUUAGUUCCUUUUGAUCUUGGUUUCUCGCUUAUUUACAAUUCUCCGAAGUUCUCGGAUUCUCGUUGUGGUCGUGGGAAGCUUUUUCCCUACUCG
Molecule: unclassified non-coding RNA, 218 nt
Filed under: Hevea brasiliensis (rubber tree)
Lineage: Eukaryota; Viridiplantae; Streptophyta; Magnoliopsida; Malpighiales; Euphorbiaceae
Source: RNAcentral